CCCCUUAAAAUGGAGCUUGUGUAAAGGUUGUCACGCUGCUUGCUUAGCGAGUACCACUUCCCCCCAAUUCAGCCGAUACUCGGACCUCUGCCUCGCUAGCACACGUGACCGUCCUCCCUCAAGUGUCUUAGCCGAUUGCGCCAUCUCAAAAGCUAGCCAAUGAGGCGACGCAAGCGGGACACUUCAGGCUGAGGAGUAAGUUUCACAGAUCUUCAUCUGCUACACUUGUAGUUUACUCUGCCGGAGGAGGAAGACCAUGUUGAACUGCUGUUGCCACUACCGACGAUACCAUCGCUACCAUCAACGGGACCACGUCACACCGCUCUGCCACUUACCUUGCAACCAGAGGGGGACCAUUUAUGUACUAAAUUGGACAGGAUCAUGGGCUGGGUGCCACAGACGAUUGAGGACAACAGACGAUGAGGAAUGACUGCCAAAUGACUACCGACUAACAAUCCUCCAGCAGCACGGACAUUAUCUCCAGAACCGAGUUUGGUGUGUGUGUGUGUGUGUGUGUGUGUGUGUGUGUGUGUGUGUGUGUGUGUGUGUGAAUGGUGUUGUUGAACUUGUACUACACAAUAACUUGAGAUAAAGAACAUUUUCAAACCUG
Oncorhynchus mykiss (rainbow trout) is the source of this 610-nucleotide long non-coding RNA. RefSeq lists it as uncharacterized. NCBI's taxonomy places the organism in Eukaryota, Metazoa, Chordata, Actinopteri, Salmoniformes, Salmonidae. The record is from RefSeq and is a predicted model, not a curated record.